Molecule: ribosomal RNA, 504 nt
Filed under: uncultured bacterium
Lineage: Bacteria
Description: partial 16S ribosomal RNA
Rfam family: Bacterial small subunit ribosomal RNA
Source: RNAcentral
GACGAACGCUGGCGGCGUGCCUAAUACAUGCAAGUCGAACGCACAGUUUAUACCGUAGCUUGCUACACCAUAAACUGUGAGUUGCGAACGGGUGAGUAACGCGUAGGUAACCUGCCUGGUAGCGGGGGAUAACUAUUGGAAACGAUAGCUAAUACCGCAUAAUAUUAAUUAUUGCAUGAUAAUUGAUUGAAAGAUGCAAUUGCAUCACUACCAGAUGGACCUGCGUUGUAUUAGCUAGUAGGUGAGGUAACGGCUCACCUAGGCGACGAUACAUAGCCGACCUGAGAGGGUGAUCGGCCACACUGGGACUGAGACACGGCCCAGACUCCUACGGGAGGCAGCAGUAGGGAAUCUUCGGCAAUGGACGAAAGUCUGACCGAGCAACGCCGCGUGAGUGAAGAAGGUUUUCGGAUCGUAAAGCUCUGUUGUAAGAGAAGAACGGGUGUGAGAGUGGAAAGUUCACACUGUGACGGUAUCUUACCAGAAAGGGACGGCGAACUACGU